UACAGAGGGUGCGAGCGUUGUUCAGAAUUAUUGGGCGUAAAGCGCGUGUAGGCGGUUCGAUAAGUCUGCUGUGAAAGUCCAGGGCUCAACCCUGGAAAGCCGGUGGAUACUGUCGGACUAGAGUGCGGAAGAGGCGAGUGGAAUUCCCGGUGUAGCGGUGAAAUGCGCAGAUAUCGGGAGGAACACCAAUUGCGAAGGCAGCUCGCUGGGACGUUACUGACGCUGAGACGCGAAAGCGUGGGGAGCAAACAGG
This 253-nucleotide ribosomal RNA is filed under the name uncultured bacterium. Its description in RNAcentral is "partial 16S ribosomal RNA". It matches the Rfam family "Bacterial small subunit ribosomal RNA", at positions 524 to 776 of the family's 1533-position model. The record is from RNAcentral.